UAGGGAAUCUUCCGCAAUGGGCGAAAGCCUGACGGAGCAACGCCGCGUGAGUGAUGAAGGUCUUCGGAUCGUAAAACUCUGUUAUUAGGGAAGAACAAAUGUGUAAGUAAUUAUGCACGUCUUGACGGUACCUAAUCAGAAAGCCACGGCUAACUACGUGCCAGCAGCCGCGGUAAUACGUAGGUGGCAAGCGUUAUCCGGAAUUAUUGGGCGUAAAGCGCGCGUAGGCGGUUUUUUAAGUCUGAUGUGAAAGCCCACGGCUCAACCGUGGAGGGUCAUUGGAAACUGGAAAACUUGAGUGCAGAAGAGGAAAGUGGAAUUCCAUGUGUAGCGGUGAAAUGCGCAGAGAUAUGGAGGAACACCAGUGGCGAAGGCGACUUUCUGGUCUGUAACUGACGCUGAUGUGCGAAAGCGUGGGGAUCAAACAGG
RNAcentral lists this ribosomal RNA (429 nucleotides) under Actinomycetes bacterium. Its description in RNAcentral is "Actinobacteria bacterium partial 16S ribosomal RNA". It matches the Rfam family "Bacterial small subunit ribosomal RNA", at positions 355 to 776 of the family's 1533-position model. The record is from RNAcentral. Lineage: Bacteria; Bacillati; Actinomycetota; Actinomycetes.